Triticum dicoccoides is the source of this 1788-nucleotide long non-coding RNA. RefSeq lists it as uncharacterized. The transcript has 3 exons. Lineage: Eukaryota; Viridiplantae; Streptophyta; Magnoliopsida; Poales; Poaceae. The record is from RefSeq and is a predicted model, not a curated record.
CGCUGGCCUGGGCGCCCCGGCUGCCGCUCCAGGCGUGUCACGCGUCGUCACUCGAGCCCGUGCUGGAGUCCAUCGGCCCAGCAGCCGGUACCCGUCGGACCAGUACGUCUGCGCGGCGUCCACCUCGUCGUCCUCGACCGCUCUCCCAUCGUCGGUUCAUGCGGCUCUUCGCGAUCCACUCUGGGUCGCGGCCAUGCGUGAAGAAUUUGAGGCGCUCCAGCGCAACCAUACUUGGCAGUUGGUGCCCCGCCCCCUGGGCGCCAACGUGAUCAGCGACCGGUGGGUGUUCCGCCGCAAGCUUCGCUCCGACGGCACCCUCGAGCGGUACAAGGCUAGAUGGGUCGUCCGGGGCUUCCGCCAACGCGCCGGAGUCGACUUCACCAACACGUUCGCACCCUCGUCAAGCCCGGCACGAUCCGGUGCGUCCUGCAGCUCGCCGUCUCACGCCAGUGGGAUGUACACCAGCUCGACGUCUCUAACGCGUUCCUGCAUGGGCUGCGUUUUGAUUUUCGGCCGAAAAAAACGAAUUUCGGCCGAAUUUCGGCCAUCUCGCUAGGGCCCGAUAUAUGGGCCUAUCGGCCGAAUAAUUUGGCCCAGUUUGAAUUUUUUCUUGACCGGCCCAGCUUCUAGAGCCUUCCAGCUGAGACAAAACCACGAAACCGAAACAGCCAACCCUAGAAUCGCUCGUUUCCUGUCCCUCCUCCUGUGUGCGGCGCCGCCGCUGCGCACAGGCCACAUCUCCUCGCCCUCCUCCACAUCUCCGGCCAAAGCGCUCACUUCUCCGACCCUCCUUCACAUCUCCUCGCCUCCACCCCAUCCACUUCCUGUCCAAGACUGUGGCAACAGAGCUCGGCGGUUGCGGCCCUUCUCCAAGACUGCAGCGUGGUGCUCGGCGGCUGCGGCAACGGAGCUGAUGGAGCGCGAGCCGACCAGUUCAACGGAGGCGGUAGCACGGGGCAGCGGCAGCAGCAUGGAGGGCGUCCGCUUGACUGGAAAGAGAAAGUAUUUGUUGAUAGUGAGAGUGAGGAUAAUGAUGGGGUGAGUGAGGAUGGGGAAGAUGCUCCAUCCAUGCAUGAUCAGCAAGAGGCGCAAAUGCAAGUGGAAAAAGAGACACAAAUUCAAGUGGAAAAGGACGCACCACCAACAGAUGGCAAUUUGGAGACCCGUAGAUCUGUACGGCUUGUCAAGAAGAAGACCAAGGGUGUCAACAGCCUAUACCCGCUGCUUAGAAAUCUGCUAGCAAAUAUCUUCUUUCUAGUGUUUUAUGAUUCAUGAUAAUUGCUUAGAAAAUUUUAGUUACUUGGAGCUGGUAGUUUCUUAGAUGUAUAAACUUUCUAUCCAUGCCUAGCCUUCGUUGUCAUGUUAAGCAAUGUAUUUAUGUUGUCCUGAAAUGUUACCACUUGACUAUUGUUGCACUAGACACCUCCCUGUUAGUCCAUUUUAUUUCAUUAUGCACAAAGUGGAAGAAGAAAAUUCUGAUGUUGAACUACAUCUAUCCUGAUUCUUUCUUUGUUUUCUCUAUAUGAACUAGAAAUGCCACAUGAAGAACUAAGGAUAUCAAGAAGCUUUUGGAUGUAUACAAGCUUGGAGCUGCUGUUUUAUAGAAAUGACACUUGAAGAAUAACCAAGGAUAUCAAGAAGCUUUUGGAUGUAGGCAUGCUUGGAGCUGCUGUUUCAAUGUCAUGCUUUGAUAGUUGUCUUUUGAAGCUGAUGUUUCUAUGUGUAAUACUUUAAGUCUGUUGGCUGUACCGGACUAUUUAAACUCUGAACUAUGUUGUGAUGGUUGAA